This 463-nucleotide ribosomal RNA is filed under the name uncultured bacterium. Its description in RNAcentral is "partial 16S ribosomal RNA". It matches the Rfam family "Bacterial small subunit ribosomal RNA", at positions 28 to 507 of the family's 1533-position model. The record is from RNAcentral.
GACGAACGCUGGCGGCGUGCUUAACACAUGCAAGUCGAACGGAAAGGCCUUUUCGGAGGUACUCGAGUGGCGAACGGGUGAGUAACACGUGGGUGAUCUGCCCUGCACUCUGGGAUAAGCCUGGGAAACUGGGUCUAAUACCGGAUAGGACCGCACUUUAGUGUGUGUGGUGGAAAGUUUUUUCGGUGUAGGAUGAGCCCGCGGCCUAUCAGCUUGUUGGUGGGGUAAUGGCCUACCAAGGCGGCGACGGGUAGCCGGACUGAGAGGUUGGUCGGCCACAUUGGGACUGAGAUACGGCCCAGACUCCUACGGGAGGCAGCAGUGGGGAAUAUUGCACAAUGGGCGCAAGCCUGAUGCAGCGAAGCCGCGUGGGGGAUGACGGCCUUCGGGUUGUAAACUCCUUUCGCCAGGGACGAAGCGUUUUGUGACGGUACCUGGAGAAGAAGCACCGGCUAACUACGUG